AGUAUUACGCCGGAUGAACGGAAAUCAUUGAUGUUGAUUAAUAUGGGAUGUAAGUCUCUAAUACUA
This 66-nucleotide transfer RNA is filed under the name Boreotrophon candelabrum. RNAcentral describes it as "tRNA-Ile". The record is from RNAcentral. Lineage: Eukaryota; Metazoa; Mollusca; Gastropoda; Neogastropoda; Muricidae.